Molecule: non-coding RNA, 110 nt
Organism: Acanthosepion pharaonis
Lineage: Eukaryota; Metazoa; Mollusca; Cephalopoda; Sepiida; Sepiidae
Source: the annotation of a GenBank genome assembly
GACCAUAUCACGGUGAAACACCGUUUCCCUUACGAUCACUGAAGUCAAGCAACGUCGAGCCUUGUCAGUAACUAGAUAGGUAACCGCUUGCGAAUACCAAGUGCUGCAAG